GACGAACGCCGGCGGCGUGCUUAACACAUGCAAGUCGAACGGAAAGGCCUGCUUUCCCUUGUGGAUUGCGGGUACUCGAGUGGCGAACGGGUGAGUAACACGUGAGUGAUCUGCCCCCAACUUGGGUAUAAGCCUGGGAAACUGGGUCUAAUUCCCGAUAGGACUGCAGGGUGGUGCCUGUGGUGGAAAACGAUUUUCUAGUGGUUGGGGAUGAGCUCGCGGCCUAUCAGCUUGUUGGUGGGGUAAUGGCCUACCAAGGCGGCGACGGGUAGCCGGCCUGAGAGGGUGGACGGCCACAUUGGGACUGAGGUACGGCCCAGACUCCUACGGGAGGCAGCAGUGGGGAAUAUUGCACAAUGGGCGGAAGCCUGAUGCAGCGACGCCGCGUGGGGGAUGACGGCCUUCGGGUUGUAAACUCCUUUCGACCGCGAGGAAGCCACCUGGUUGGAAGGGUGGUGACGGUAGUGGUAGAAGAAGCACCGGCUAACUACGUG
RNAcentral lists this ribosomal RNA (494 nucleotides) under uncultured bacterium. RNAcentral describes it as "partial 16S ribosomal RNA". It matches the Rfam family "Bacterial small subunit ribosomal RNA", at positions 28 to 507 of the family's 1533-position model. The record is from RNAcentral.